RNAcentral lists this ribosomal RNA (459 nucleotides) under uncultured Pseudomonas sp. RNAcentral describes it as "bacterial SSU rRNA". It matches the Rfam family "Bacterial small subunit ribosomal RNA", at positions 922 to 1382 of the family's 1533-position model. The record is from RNAcentral. Lineage: Bacteria; Pseudomonadati; Pseudomonadota; Gammaproteobacteria; Pseudomonadales; Pseudomonadaceae.
CGACAAGCGGUGGAGCAUGUGGUUAAUUCGAAGCAACGCGAAGAACCUUACCAGGCCUUGACAUGCAGAGAACUUUCCAGAGAUGGAUUGGUGCCUUCGGGAACUCUGACACAGGUGCUGCAUGGCUGUCGUCAGCUCGUGUCGUGAGAUGUUGGGUUAAGUCCCGUAACGAGCGCAACCCUUGUCCUUAGUUACCAGCACGUUAUGGUGGGCACUCUAAGGAGACUGCCGGUGACAACCGGAGGAAGGUGGGGGAUGACGUCAAGUCAUCAUGGCCCUUACGGCCUGGGCUACACACGUGCUACAAUGGUCGGUACAAAGGGUUGCCAAGCCGCGAGGUGGAGCUAAUCCCAUAAAACCGAUCGUAGUCCGGAUCGCAGUCUGCAACUCGACUGCGUGAAGUCGGAAUCGCUAGUAAUCGUGAAUCAGAAUGUCACGGUGAAUACGUUCCCGGGCCUU